Molecule: ribosomal RNA, 767 nt
Filed under: Paenarthrobacter sp.
Lineage: Bacteria; Bacillati; Actinomycetota; Actinomycetes; Micrococcales; Micrococcaceae
Description: bacterial SSU rRNA
Rfam family: Bacterial small subunit ribosomal RNA
Source: RNAcentral
UGAUCCUCAGCCUUGCUGGGGGGAUUAGUGGCGAACGGGUGAGUAACACGUGAGUAACCUGCCCUUGACUCUGGGAUAAGCCUGGGAAACUGGGUCUAAUACCGGAUAUGACCAUCUGGCGCAUGUCAUGGUGGUGGAAAGCUUUUUGUGGUUUUGGAUGGACUCGCGGCCUAUCAGCUUGUUGGUGGGGUAAUGGCCUACCAAGGCGACGACGGGUAGCCGGCCUGAGAGGGUGACCGGCCACACUGGGACUGAGACACGGCCCAGACUCCUACGGGAGGCAGCAGUGGGGAAUAUUGCACAAUGGGCGCAAGCCUGAUGCAGCGACGCCGCGUGAGGGAUGACGGCCUUCGGGUUGUAAACCUCUUUCAGUAGGGAAGAAGCCUUUCGGGGUGACGGUACUUGCAGAAGAAGCGCCGGCUAACUACGUGCCAGCAGCCGCGGUAAUACGUAGGGCGCAAGCGUUAUCCGGAAUUAUUGGGCGUAAAGAGCUCGUAGGCGGUUUGUCGCGUCUGCUGUGAAAGACCGGGGCUCAACUCCGGUUCUGCAGUGGGUACGGGCAGACUAGAGUGCAGUAGGGGAGACUGGAAUUCCUGGUGUAGCGGUGAAAUGCGCAGAUAUCAGGAGGAACACCGAUGGCGAAGGCAGGUCUCUGGGCUGUAACUGACGCUGAGGAGCGAAAGCAUGGGGAGCGAACAGGAUUAGAUACCCUGGAUAGUCCAUGCCGUAAACGUUGGGCACUAGGUGUGGGGGGACAUUCCACGUUU